Molecule: ribosomal RNA, 717 nt
Filed under: Penicillium canescens
Lineage: Eukaryota; Fungi; Ascomycota; Eurotiomycetes; Eurotiales; Aspergillaceae
Description: LSU rRNA
Rfam family: Eukaryotic large subunit ribosomal RNA
Source: RNAcentral
UUGCCCCAGUAACGGCGAGUGAAGCGGCAAGAGCUCAAAUUUGAAAGCUGGCUCCUUCGGGGUCCGCAUUGUAAUUUGCAGAGGAUGCUUCGGGAGCGGUCCCCAUCUAAGUUCCCUGGAACGGGACGUCAUAGAGGGUGAAAAUCCCGUAUGGGAUGGGGUGUCCGCGCCCGUGUGAAGCUCCUUCGACGAGUCGAGUUGUUUGGGAAUGCAGCUCUAAAUGGGUGGUAAAUUUCAUCUAAAGCUAAAUAUUGGCCGGAGACCGAUAGCGCACAAGUAGAGUGAUCGAAAGAUGAAAAGCACUUUGAAAAGAGAGUUAAAAAGCACGUGAAAUUGUUGAAAGGGAAGCGCUUGCGACCAGACUCGCUCGCGGGGUUCAGCCGGCAUUCGUGCCGGUGUACUUCCCCGCGGGCGGGCCAACGUCGGUUUGGGCGGUCGGUCAAAGGCCCUCGGAAGGUAACGCCCCCAGGGGCGUCUUAUAGCCCAGGGUGCGAUGCGACCUGCCUAGACCGAGGAACGCGCUUCGGCUCGGACGUUGGCAUAAUGGUCGUAAGCGACCCGUCUUGAAACACGGACCACGGAGUCUAACAUCUACGCGAGUGUUCGGGUGUCAAACCCGUGCGCGCAGUGAAAGCGAACGGAGGUGGGAACCCUUUGGGUGCACCAUCGACCGAUCCUGAUGUCUUCGGAUGGAUUUGAGUAAGAACAUAGCUGUUG